CCAAAGGCAAAUGUGCCUCUACAUUAUUAUUUUUCUUUUAAAUCAUGCCUCUCUCUUCUUUCUUCUGUUUGAUUGUAUGAAUUGUUGUUUUGUACAUGUUGCUAAGGUUUAUUCUGUUUCUUUAGUGCAAUUUGAUUGAUCACUGUUUUCAAAAUUUGUCUUUUGCAAGUCAUAAGGUACCGGGCAAAAACAAACAAAUAAACAAACAAACUAGUUUUGCAUGACCGCUAAAACCCCUUAGUUAAAAGAUAAAUGCAUUUUCGUUGUUUGCAGUUAGCCUCCUGUCCAGAUGGUGGCGGUACUGCGCCCUGGUGCUGUUUGCUGAUACAGUCCUAGAAGAAAACAUCCGUUUGUGUAACAUCAAUGUUUCCCCUUACAUCAGUGGGGUUGACUCAGACAGGGGUUUAAAAUCCUAACUUAAGUGCUUGUCCACGCGGACAUGUUUUGCAAAUUAAGCGUCAGUUUAGCUGCAGGCUUCGUCAAGUUUCCAACUUGUGUGACAUCAAGGACUUUAAGAACAGUGGGACCAUCAUCAUGUCUCUGCAGACACCAGCAUCAGAGUCUUAGCAGCGAGUCUGAAGGUGUCAGGGUGUUGUAUGAUGGACUCUGUCCCAUUUGUGUGACAGAGAUCCGCUUCCUCCACUUUCUGAAUAGAAACCAGGCUGGGAAAGUAGAUUUUAUCGACAUCGCCAAGCCGGGUUAUGAUGCAGCAAAAUACAAGGAUGUCACCUAUGAGAUGGCUAUGGAGGAAAUGCAUGUGAUCGAUGAGAAAGACCAGGUUCACCGUGGGGUUCCAGCAUUCGCAGUCAUGUACAGUGCGGUGGGCCUGAACUGGCUGGCUCGCCUCAUGAUGUGGUCACCCGUGAGGCCGCUCAUGGACAAAUCAUAUGCAGUCUUUGCCAGGAAUCGGCUCAAAUGGACAGGACGUGGGGAUGAAUGCACUACUGGUCGCUGUGAAAAGAAAACCAACUGACUGGCAACCACAGAAAAUAAAGCAUUUGUAAUGGCGGUCUAAAUACUACAGUCAAUUAAAAAGCAACACUGUAUGAAUUUUUUUUCUUUCUAGUAUCAUUAAAAGAAAUCUAUAUUAUGCAUACAACAUUUUCUUCAUGUACAGCAAUUCUCCUUUCAGAUGUUUCAAAUAAAUACUUUCAGUUGAUAGUUUCUGGUAAGUGUUUUUCUCAACUCUGCAGCUGACGUAUCCUUCAAAGAAAAUUCUGGUGGAUGACAAACAACCAGAUAAAUAACAUGGAGCUGCAGAAACAGACGCCAAUUUUGAAACCAAAGUCUGUGACUGUGAGGGAUGGAGGAAGGUUUAGAUUUCAGUAAAUGUGCCAUUUAGAGAUAAGACCUAAAGUCACUGAAGCAAAUACAGCAAUUCCUUUGUCAAGCCCUGAAUUUCAAGCAGGUUCUGUCAAAAAGAGGGUAAUCAAAAAAGGACUAUCGGCAAGCUGCCACUAGGUGUCAUUGUAAGUCUAAAAUAAUUGUAGAAGGUGAAAAAUUGCAGUCAUAGAAUUGAAUGAAAUGUCAGCAGUGAAUGAUCAGAUUCUCUUGUCUUUCUAUUUUUUAACUCCUCCAAACGAAAAAAAUGAGAAGAUUUCUAAAUGCUGAUAAGUAUUUAUGUGACCAAACCAGUACAGACUAUCAUGUCUUUUUAUUACAAGGCUGAUUGAGGCUGAACUUUAGAGCAUUUUAUUUAUAUAUGAAUAGAUCUUUACAUAUAUAUUUAUAUACAUAUACCGUUACUGGGAGGGAAAUCUGACACGUUUGCACCUUCUGAUUCCAGGGAGGUGUGUUUUUAUCUGCAAUCACCUGACUUCCUGGAUGCCACUUUCCCUAAUUUUAGACUGGAGCGUGUGUGCAGCAAUAGUGUCACUCCUGUGAUGUUUUGAUGACGCACACUCCCAGUCUGGAUCCUCCAAUGUGAUUACAGCUCUGCAUGUGUCACAUAAACAUCAGACUGAGCCUCUCUCACAGUGUGUAGGCUUGACUUCCUGAGAAAAGGAGUUUGCUGACAGAGGUCAUACAAAGAUAAAACAGGUAAAACUUAUCCAUAUGAUUUUCUAAACACAAUUAUAGCAAAGAAGUGAGUGCUACUGUAGCAAUGACUUUAACCUCACUGUAGGAGAAAGCCAGUGUUCAGUUGUGUAACAUAGCUGCCUGCCUCUCUUUGUGUGAGGGUUUGAGUACAGACAAGGUCAGAUAUGUUUUUGCAGUCAAUCUGCAUCAACAGACAGCUUAAAGGGCCACACAGGUCACAUAGAUGGAGAUGUGUACUGCAUUCCAAGCACACGGUGUUCCAGCACUUGAAACUAUAGAAAAAUAUGCUCUGAUCAGCUGACCUGAAAGACUGCAUGCUGUCUGUUUAGCUGUUUGUUUGGCUGUUUAAGGCCAGCUUCAUAUGAUUACUUUUGACAAAACUGUGUAAGUAAAAAAUAUGUUAUUAUUUUUAUUACAUUUUUAUUGUAACUAAAAGUAACAAAUUCACACAGUUUUGUUGCUUUACUUCAUAAUUUACAAAUUUGUUGUGAAACAUUACCUCAAGAUUUAUUUCUUUAAAUUCCAAAAUGAAAUAAAAUGCUAUUUUGUAAGCUUGACUGCAGCAAACAGCUAAAGAUUAACUUUUAUUUUUUGGUACUUUGGCAUGUAAGAGUCCAGGCUAAUCAUACAAUCCAAGUUUUACCUUCCUCCUACUUUGGACCUUUUUCCAAAGCAGCAAUUAGGUUUGUCUCGGUGCAUAUUUAUCUCAGUAAUCCCUAUAAACACCUUUUUCUUUGCCCCACUUUAACAGUAAUGUGAGGAAAGUGGGAAAAAAAAUACUCCAUCAUUGUUUUCACUGUAUUUAAUAAGUUUUAUGCCCUUUGAACAACUUAUUAUUUUUAAAAGUGCAGACCUCUUUAAAAAAAAAAAAAAAGAUUUUUUAUUUAUUUAUUUAUUUAUUUUACUGGUUUUGGUAAAAACAAGUAAAUUUGAAAAGUGUUAAAGAGAAGCUCCUGCUGUAGCACAUCAGUUUUUGGAAUACUUAAUUUCUAAGAUUUUUAAUGUUUUACUUUCAAAAGCAUUUUUUUCUUUUUCUAAAGUAAAAUCUUAGGAAAAUGCUCCAUCAUCAAAAAAAAAAAACAAUGUGAAGUUGCUUUCUUGCCAAAUAAAAAACUCAUAAAAAGUACUCAGUAAAUCUUAGGAAAUCCCUAUGUUUCAACUCAGUAUGAUUUUGAUUUGUUAUUUGUUUUAACCUCUAAAGUCAUAUUGACCAAAAUAUACCAGGAACAAAUGUGAGAUGAUGAUAAUGAUAAUGGUAAAGUUUAAUAACGCAUUACCAUUUUGUGUUUACAGGUCAGUAAAAAUGCAGAGUAAAUAGAAAGUCGAUAUAUUUUGAACAUCUCUCUGAGUCCAUUAGGCUCUGAUCAUUCUUUACUUUUCUUCCAGACUCCUGUUGAAUGGUGUUCUAUAAUCUCUCAGAGUUCUCAAAUACAUCCAAGUGCUUCUCGCCCAGUCAGGCCAUUAAUAGGUCACUACCUUAUCCCCACCAUUUGUCUAAGUUCAGGGAUGAGAAAUCCUUUUUGCUGAGGGAGGCACACAAUAAGCCUUCUCAAUAGGCCUCCUCAAAGGACCUUUUUUCUGGAGCUGCAUCUUGUCUGUGCCUUGAAUCACAGGAACAUUCACAGCUUUAAGAUGUGCUAGCACAUUUCAAAGUAUAAAGCAGACUGAUACAAGCUUUUCUUUUUUUUCCCCACUGCCUUAGAAAGUGUACCAAAGAAGUGAGGCGUCUCCACAGUGUGCUCCGUUUUUCAUCUUAUAGAAGUC
RNAcentral lists this long non-coding RNA (3804 nucleotides) under Oryzias sinensis (Chinese medaka). RNAcentral's name for it is "lncRNA (ENSOSIG00000023707.1)". Lineage: Eukaryota; Metazoa; Chordata; Actinopteri; Beloniformes; Adrianichthyidae. The record is from RNAcentral.